GUUGGUGUGAGUGCUCUUCUAACAGACGAUCUUCGUGGGAGCGUUUCCGGCAGACUGGCGCACCUGCAGCGGAUUCCCGCAAUCGGCUGCAGGAUUCUUAAGAAGCGGUGGAGCAGCUAUUCAUCGCUCGAUGGUCCCACUUGUUGAUCUCGAUCAGUUGUCUGGAUCAAGCCAGGAACCACGCCUAUCACAGCGCGCAGCAGCGGCUGCUCUUUGUCACCAGGACUCCUCCGCCUGCCGAUCGUGCCCCUGUCACUCUCGCAGAACCUCUGUGCCUCUUGGAUCCUUUCCCCUUCCUCAGCAACCCUGCAUCAGACGAACUAACCGGAGCCGCCCAACCGCUGCCGGUUCGAGAGUCAACCUGGAUUAGAUUUCAUUCAACAUUUAUUGUUAAAUAAAUAAUUUGAAUCAAGACUUUUCGGCCUUUGUGGUAGAACCUGCAUGUGGGUGAAAAACCUCAAAUCCAACAUGACAGAACCAUCGAGCCAUGUUGACCCAGCAGGCUCACACACUAGACCCGGAUUAAGUUCAGCAGAACUACUAGCUCGCCACGAUGCCAUGCUCCGCACUUUAUUGGAUCAGCAGAGUUUCCAGGGCCAGGUGAUGGAUCAGUUGAGAUCCACAGUCUCAGAACUGUCACACAGACUGGAGCAUAACCCUCUGCCUCAUGUUACAGCCGGGGCAGCGGCCUCCGCCCCACCACUUGGGGAGGAGCAGUCAACACCUUCA
Gambusia affinis (western mosquitofish) is the source of this 729-nucleotide long non-coding RNA. RefSeq lists it as uncharacterized. NCBI's taxonomy places the organism in Eukaryota, Metazoa, Chordata, Actinopteri, Cyprinodontiformes, Poeciliidae. The transcript is spliced from 3 exons. The record is from RefSeq and is a predicted model, not a curated record.